UACGUAGGGACCGAGCGUUGUCCGGAAUCAUUGGGCGUAAAGAGCGUGUAGGCGGCCACUUAAGUCCUGCGUGAAAUCUUGCGGCUCAACCGCAAGCGGUCGUGGGAAACUGGGUGGCUAGAGUGCGGGAGAGGAGAGUGGAAUUCCUGGUGUAGCGGUGGAAUGCGCAGAUAUCAGGAAGAACACCCGUGGCGAAGGCGGCUCUCUGGAACGCAACUGACGCUGCGACGCGAAAGCGUGGGGAGCAAACAGG
RNAcentral lists this ribosomal RNA (253 nucleotides) under uncultured bacterium. Its description in RNAcentral is "partial 16S ribosomal RNA". It matches the Rfam family "Bacterial small subunit ribosomal RNA", at positions 524 to 776 of the family's 1533-position model. The record is from RNAcentral.